AAAAAGACAAACCCUGUUUCCAUGUCUAACAUUUGACCGUCCGUCUUAUUUGAAAAAAUUAUGAAAAAAAUUAAAAAAAACAAGUCACGCAUAAAAUAUUAAUCAUGUUUUAUCAUCUAACAACAAUUAAAAUACAAAUUAUAAAAAAAAUUUAUAUAAAACGGACAGUCAAAAUUGGACACGGAAAUCCAGAGUUUACUUUUUU
This 205-nucleotide microRNA precursor is filed under the name Oryza rufipogon (brownbeard rice). Its description in RNAcentral is "MIR812 microRNA precursor family". It matches the Rfam family "MIR812 microRNA precursor family". Lineage: Eukaryota; Viridiplantae; Streptophyta; Magnoliopsida; Poales; Poaceae. The record is from Rfam by way of RNAcentral.